This 632-nucleotide ribosomal RNA is filed under the name Nocardia sp. So1Ps_756. RNAcentral describes it as "bacterial SSU rRNA". It matches the Rfam family "Bacterial small subunit ribosomal RNA", at positions 382 to 1024 of the family's 1533-position model. Lineage: Bacteria; Bacillati; Actinomycetota; Actinomycetes; Mycobacteriales; Nocardiaceae. The record is from RNAcentral.
CCUGAUGCAGCGACGCCGCGUGAGGGAUGACGGCCUUCGGGUUGUAAACCUCUUUCGACAGGGACGAAGCGCAAGUGACGGUACCUGUAGAAGAAGCACCGGCCAACUACGUGCCAGCAGCCGCGGUAAUACGUAGGGUGCGAGCGUUGUCCGGAAUUACUGGGCGUAAAGAGCUUGUAGGCGGUUUGUCGCGUCUUCUGUGAAAACUUGGGGCUCAACCUUAAGCUUGCAGGGGAUACGGGCAGACUAGAGUACUUCAGGGGAGACUGGAAUUCCUGGUGUAGCGGUGAAAUGCGCAGAUAUCAGGAGGAACACCGGUGGCGAAGGCGGGUCUCUGGGAAGUAACUGACGCUGAGAAGCGAAAGCGUGGGUAGCGAACAGGAUUAGAUACCCUGGUAGUCCACGCCGUAAACGGUGGGUACUAGGUGUGGGUUUCCUUCCACGGGAUCCGUGCCGUAGCUAACGCAUUAAGUACCCCGCCUGGGGAGUACGGCCGCAAGGCUAAAACUCAAAGGAAUUGACGGGGGCCCGCACAAGCGGCGGAGCAUGUGGAUUAAUUCGAUGCAACGCGAAGAACCUUACCUGGGUUUGACAUACACCGGAAACCUGCAGAGAUGUAGGCCCCCUUGUGG